This is a long non-coding RNA of Nicotiana attenuata, 344 nucleotides long. RefSeq lists it as uncharacterized. The transcript is spliced from 4 exons. The record is from RefSeq and is a predicted model, not a curated record. Lineage: Eukaryota; Viridiplantae; Streptophyta; Magnoliopsida; Solanales; Solanaceae.
CUCUUCAAGUCGUAGGCCGCAACCUCCAAAAUCUCCAUUAUCAGUUUAUCUCGACUUCUUUCGUUGGUUUUGAUCCCAAUAGGCGGAAGUGCCGCCGCCGAAACUGAAAUUUCCGCAAACCUGUUGUCUGAGUGGCGAUUUCUGAUCAGGUGAAUUUCUUGCAAACAUGGUUACAGUUACUACAUAUGAGAUCUUGGUUACACGUAUUUUUGAAGGUUGUGAGAUCAACUGAUAUGAAGGAAUUUUGACUUGGUAAAGGCAUGGACUUAAAAAGACACAUGGAUAAGGAAGCUUUGAAGUGCAUUGGCGUUUUUGUAAAUCUCAAGGGAACAAUAUCAUUACGA